AUUGAACGCUGGCGGCAUGCCUUACACAUGCCAGUCGAACGGUAACGGGCCUUCGGGUGCCGACGAGUGGCGAACGGGUGAGUAAUACAUCGGAACGUGCCCGAUCGUGGGGGAUAACGAGGCGAAAGCUUUGCUAAUACCGCAUACGAUCUACGGAUGAAAGCAGGGGACCGCAAGGCCUUGCGCGGACGGAGCGGCCGAUGGCAGAUUAGGUAGUUGGUGGGAUAAAAGCUUACCAAGCCGACGAUCUGUAGCUGGUCUGAGAGGAUGAUCAGCCACACUGGGACUGAGACACGGCCCAGACUCCUACGGGAGGCAGCAGUGGGGAAUUUUGGACAAUGGGCGCAAGCCUGAUCCAGCCAUGCCGCGUGCAGGAUGAAGGCCUUCGGGUUGUAAACUGCUUUUGUACGGAACGAAAAGCCUUCUUUUAAUACAGGAGGGUCAUGACGGUACCGGAAGAAUAAGCACCGGCUAACUACGUG
Molecule: ribosomal RNA, 482 nt
Filed under: uncultured bacterium
Lineage: Bacteria
Description: partial 16S ribosomal RNA
Rfam family: Bacterial small subunit ribosomal RNA
Source: RNAcentral